This is a non-coding RNA of Turdus rufiventris (rufous-bellied thrush), 95 nucleotides long. The record is from the annotation of a GenBank genome assembly. NCBI's taxonomy places the organism in Eukaryota, Metazoa, Chordata, Aves, Passeriformes, Turdidae.
GGGACUUUUUGGUAAAUCUGGUUGCAGUGCCUGCUGACAUCAGGCUCAGACUUCAAGUAUCUGGGAAAUAAAUCAGUUCAUCUGAUGGUCUCCUG